UGAGCAUGUGCAGAGUGGUGCUGGUGCUCCUGCUCACUGAGCACACUGUGCCAGGCCCCUUGUGGGAAUUCUCUCAUGAAUCCUUGUAACUCUGCGAAAAAGGUAUUGUUACUACGGCCAUUUUACAGAGAAGGGAGCUGAGGCACAGAGAGGUUAAGAACAUGCCCAAAGUGACACAGCCUGCAAGCAGCAGAGCUGGGAUUUUGAUCCAGGUCCAUGUACUUUGGAGCCGGUGUGUUGUGUCCAUGGAUGUGCGAGACUCCUCCCCAGGAACCCAGGACCCAGCUGAGGCCUCCUCCAGGGAAAACAUGGAUGGCAUAAAAAGGUAACUGAGGGAGACCUUGUGAGAGGAAACAAUGACCGCGUCCUGACCGGCUCUGUGGUGCUGAGCUCCUGCAGGGACCUUGGAAGGGCCCCCACCCACGAGAGCCUCCACGAUAGGACCCCAGCUGCAGGAGCAAGGACAGCUGCCUCAGGAAGACUCUCCAAGGGGCAGGAGCCUCUGUGAGGUGGGGGCUGCAGCUGCCAGGGACACAUCAGUCAUCAAGGUACUCCCGCAAAGCAGCGUCGGCCCUGGGGCCUUCAUCGCGUUGGUUUCCCUGGCUCCUGGGGCCCACGCUGUCCACACUCUUCCUCUUCUCACUCCUUCCCCUCCUUGAAGACCAAGGGCUGGGGUGGCAGAGAGACCCGGGACUCUCAUUUGCUUUGUGACUGGGCAAGUCAUUUAACCCCUAGGAACCUCACUGUCCCCCUCUGCAGAGAGGGGAGAAACGGGGCUGUUGUGGGAUUCUGUGAGACCUUCUGUAGUGCCUGCUACAUGGCGGGAGCUUAAUCAGUCAGGUCCCUUCUGGUCUCCUUCCAAACUUGGCUGCAAAGGCCCAACUCUGGUUCCCGCCCGUGCGUUUCGGGCUCUGGCCUCCUCCUGAGCACUGACUGUCCUACACUUCGGUGUCUGGCUGCCUACAAAGAG
This 970-nucleotide long non-coding RNA is filed under the name Equus asinus (donkey). Its description in RNAcentral is "lncRNA (ENSEASG00005035190.1)". Lineage: Eukaryota; Metazoa; Chordata; Mammalia; Perissodactyla; Equidae. The record is from RNAcentral.